UACGUAGGGGGCUAGCGUUGUCCGGAUUUAUUGGGCGUAAAGAGCUCGUAGGCGGUUCGGUAAGUCGGCUGUGAAAUCUCCACGCUCAACGUGGAGGGGUCAGUCGAUACUGCCGUGACUAGAGUCCGGUAGGGGAGUGUGGAAUUCCCGGUGUAGCGGUGAAAUGCGCAGAGAUCGGGAGGAACACCCGUAGCGAAGGCGGCACUCUGGGCCGGUACUGACGCUGAGGAGCGAAAGCGUGGGGAGCAAACAGG
This 254-nucleotide ribosomal RNA is filed under the name uncultured bacterium. Its description in RNAcentral is "partial 16S ribosomal RNA". It matches the Rfam family "Bacterial small subunit ribosomal RNA", at positions 524 to 776 of the family's 1533-position model. The record is from RNAcentral.